RNAcentral lists this ribosomal RNA (256 nucleotides) under uncultured bacterium. RNAcentral's name for it is "partial 16S ribosomal RNA". It matches the Rfam family "Bacterial small subunit ribosomal RNA", at positions 524 to 776 of the family's 1533-position model. The record is from RNAcentral.
UACGUAGGUGGCAAGCGUUGUCCGGAAUUAUUGGGCGUAAAGCGCGCGCAGGCGGUCCUUUAAGUCUGAUGUGAAAGCCCACGGCUCAACCGUGGAGGGUCAUUGGAAACUGGGGGACUUGAGUGCAGAAGAGGAAAGCGGAAUUCCACGUGUAGCGGUGAAAUGCGUUGAUCUACAGAGGAACACCAAAAAAGGCGAAGGCAGUCAACUAUUCUGUUCCUGACAUUGAGGCAUGAAAGCGUGGGGAGCAAACCGG